GACGAACGCUGGCGGCGUGCUUAACACAUGCAAGUCGAACGAAGUGGCGAACGGGUGAGUAACGCGUAAUCAACCUGCCCUUCAGAGGGGGACAACAGUUGGAAACGACUGCUAAUACCGCAUACUGAAGGAGGUGAUUGCGUCUGAUUGGCUCGUUGGGGGGGUAACGGCCCACCAAGGCGAUGAUCAGUCGCCGGUCUGAGAGGAUGAACGGCCACAUGGUGACUGAUACACGGCCCAGACUCCUACGGGAGGCAGCAGUGGGGAAUCGGCGGCAAUGGACGAAAGUCUGACGGAGCAACGCCGCGUGAGUGAUGACGGCCUUCGGGUUGUAAAGCUCUGUUAAUCGGGACGCGGUACCGGAAUAGAAAGCCACGGCUAACUACGUGCCAGCAGCCGCGGUAAUUC
RNAcentral lists this ribosomal RNA (408 nucleotides) under uncultured bacterium. RNAcentral's name for it is "partial 16S ribosomal RNA". It matches the Rfam family "Bacterial small subunit ribosomal RNA", at positions 28 to 526 of the family's 1533-position model. The record is from RNAcentral.